RNAcentral lists this small RNA (616 nucleotides) under Arabidopsis thaliana (thale cress). RNAcentral describes it as "ATSL269500". The record is from RNAcentral. Lineage: Eukaryota; Viridiplantae; Streptophyta; Magnoliopsida; Brassicales; Brassicaceae.
AUUAGAUGUCAUGUGUAUGAGUGAGUAUACCAACUAGAACCACAAUUGGAAUUUUAAAAGCCUAAGUAUUAUAUCCUUGUUAGAAGAUACAAAGACAAAGACUCAUACGGACUUUGGCUACACCAUCAAAGCUUUUAGAAGCAAGAAGAAGCUUGGUUAGUGUUUUGGAGUCGAAUAUGACUUGAUGUGAUGUGUAUGAUUGAGUAUAAGAAAUUAAACCGCAACCGGAACUUAAAAGCCUAAGUAUUGUUUUCUUGUUAGAAGAAACAAAGGCAAAGCCUCAUACAGACUUUAGCUAUACCAUCAAAGCCUUGAGAAGCAAGAAGAAGCUUGGUUAGUGUUUUGGAGUCAAAUAUUACUAGAUGUCAUGUGUAUGAGUGAGUAUGACAACUAGAACCAUAACCGGAUCUUAAAAACCUAAGUAUUGAAUCUUUGUUAGAAGAUACAAAGACAAAGACUCAUACGGACUACGACUACACUAUCAAAGCUUUGAGAAGCAAGAAGAAGCUUGGUUAGUGUUUUGGAGUCGAAUAUGACUUGAUGUCAUGUGUAUGAGUGAGUAUAAAAACUAGAACCGCAACGGAUCUUAAAAGCCUAAAUAUUGUAUUCUUGUUAA